This 465-nucleotide ribosomal RNA is filed under the name uncultured bacterium. RNAcentral's name for it is "SSU rRNA". It matches the Rfam family "Bacterial small subunit ribosomal RNA", at positions 26 to 518 of the family's 1533-position model. The record is from RNAcentral.
AGGACUAACGCUGGCGGCGUGCCUAACACAUGCAAGUCGAACGAGAGUAGCAAUACUCUAGUGGCAGACGGGUGAGUAACACGUGGUCAACCUACCUCUUAGUGGGGGAUAACUAGCCGAAAGGUUAGCUAAUACCGCAUUCGAUCUUCGAUCGGCAUCGAUUGAAGAUGAAAGGCGCAAGUCGCUAAGAGACGGGACCGCGUCCCAUUAGCUAGUUGGUAGGGUAAUGGCCUACCAAGGCGACGAUGGGUAGCUGGCUUGAGAGAGCGACCAGCCACACUGGGACUGAGACACGGCCCAGACUCCUACGGGAGGCAGCAGUGAGGAAUUUUCCGCAAUGGGCGAAAGCCUGACGGAGCGACGCCGCGUGUGGGAAGAAGGCCUUCGGGUCGUAACCACUGUCGAAGGGGAGAUAUUGACGGUACCCUUGGAGGAAGCCCCGGCUAACUACGCGCCAGCAGCCGC